UGGCUCAGACAGUAAGGCGUCUGCCUGCAAUGCAGGAGACCCAGGUUCGAUCCCUGG
Molecule: transfer RNA, 57 nt
Filed under: Bos taurus (domestic cattle)
Lineage: Eukaryota; Metazoa; Chordata; Mammalia; Artiodactyla; Bovidae
Also listed under: 3 other names
Rfam family: tRNA
About the family: Transfer RNA (tRNA) molecules are approximately 80 nucleotides in length. Their secondary structure includes four short double-helical elements and three loops (D, anti-codon, and T loops).
Source: Rfam by way of RNAcentral